RNAcentral lists this transfer RNA (74 nucleotides) under Wallemia ichthyophaga. It matches the Rfam family "tRNA". From Rfam's summary of the family: Transfer RNA (tRNA) molecules are approximately 80 nucleotides in length. Their secondary structure includes four short double-helical elements and three loops (D, anti-codon, and T loops). Further hydrogen bonds mediate the characteristic L-shaped molecular structure. tRNAs have two regions of fundamental functional importance: the anti-codon, which is responsible for specific mRNA codon recognition, and the 3' end, to which the tRNAs corresponding amino acid is attached (by aminoacyl-tRNA synthetases). tRNAs cope with the degeneracy of the genetic code in two manners: having more than one tRNA (with a specific anti-codon) for a particular amino acid; and 'wobble' base-pairing, i.e. permitting non-standard base-pairing at the 3rd anti-codon position. RNAcentral also lists the same sequence under 2 other names. The record is from Rfam by way of RNAcentral. Lineage: Eukaryota; Fungi; Basidiomycota; Wallemiomycetes; Wallemiales; Wallemiaceae.
GGAGCAGUAGCUUAGUUGGUUAAAGCGUAAGAUUGCAAAUCUUAAGACCACCGGUUCAAAUCCGGUUUGCUCCU